RNAcentral lists this non-coding RNA (31 nucleotides) under Rattus norvegicus (Norway rat). The record is from RNAcentral. Lineage: Eukaryota; Metazoa; Chordata; Mammalia; Rodentia; Muridae.
UGCAACUGUCUGCUCUAAAAGCCUUCGUAGU